GAUCAAGCUACUAAGGGCACGAGGUGAAUGCCUUGGCUCCAGAAGUCGAUGAAGGACGUAGUAAGUUGCGAUAAGCCACGAGGAGCGACAAACACGCGCUGAUCCGUGGAUUUCCGAAUGGGGAAACCCGGCCAUCAAGGUCGAUGUCAUGUGAAUUCAUAGCAUGGCAUCGGGACACCCGCUGAAGUGAAACAUCUCAGUAAGCGGAGGAAAAGAAAUCAAAGAGAUUCCGUAAGUAGUGGCGAACGAAAGCGGAACAGCCUAAACCGGAAGAGUUUACUCUUCCGGGGUUGUGGGAUACUUAAAUAUGGUAUCGUGAAGAGAAGCUAAUCAGUUUGGAAAACUGAACCAGAGAGGGUGACAGUCCCGUAAGUGUAAUCGAAUCGUAACCUAGAGUUUCCCGAGUAAUGCGGGACACGUGAAACCCUGCAUGAAUCCAGGCGGACCACCGUCUAAGGCUAAAUACUAACUGGAGACCGAUAGUGAACAAGUACCGUGAGGGAAAGGUGAAAAGGACCCCUGCUAGGGGAGUUUAAAGUUCCUGAAACCCCGUGCCUACAAAGUGUGGGAGCAUCUUCGGAUGUGACCGCGUGCCUUUUGCAUAAUGAGUCUGCGAGUUAUUGUCAGUGGCAAGCCUAAGCACUAUUGGUGCGCAGGCGAAGCGAAAGCGAGUGUGAAUAGCGCGUCCAGUCGCUGGCGAUAGACCCGAAGCGGAGGUGAUCUAACCAUGGGCAGGUUGAAGCUGAGGUAAAACUCAGUGAAGGACCGAACCGUUGUACGUUGAAAAGUGCUCGGAUGACCUGUGGUUAGGAGUGAAAGGCUAAUCAAACCCCGUGAUAGCUGGUUCUCUUCGAAAUAGCUUUUGGGCUAGCGUCGGGACAGUACUCCGAGGAGGUAGAGCACUGAUUGGCUUAGGGUCCCUAACAGGAUACCAAAACCAGUUAAACUCCGAAUGCCUCGGAUCCCAUUAUCCCGGCAGUCAGUCGGCGAGUGAUAAGAUCCGUCGUCGAGAGGGAAACAACCCAGACCAUCGGCUAAGGUGCCCAAAUACCGCUCAGUGGUAAGGAUGUGACGUUACAUAGACAGUGAGGAUGUUGGCUUAGAAGCAGCCACCAUUUAAACAGUGCGUAACAGCUGACUCAUCGAGUGACGUUGCGCCGAAAAUGAUUGGCGAUCAAGCGGUAUACCGAAGCCAUGGAUGUCUUUUUAAGACAUGGUAGAAGAGCGUAGUCAGGCCAUUGAAGCUUCUCUGUAAAGAGGGGUGGAGGGCUGACUAGUGAGAAUGCAGACAUGAGUAGCGAUAAACAAAGUGAGAAUCUUUGUCUCCGUAAACCCAAGGUUUCCUGGGCCAGGCUCGUCCUCCCAGGGUUAGUCGGGACCUAAGGCGAGGCCGAAAGGCGUAGUCGAUGGACAUCAGGUUAAUAUUCCUGGACUAAAGUACAAUAUGGGACGCAUGAUGAAGGAUGGCACACAUUAUGAUAUGUGAUUCUAGGCUUCGGCCGAAAUACGCCAUUUGAAUUUGUGCCGAGAAAACCGUACGUGCCCGUACCAAAACCGACACAGGUAGGUGAGUCGAAUAGACUAAGGAGCGCGAGAGAAAUCUCUCCAAGGAACUCGGCAAAUUAGCCCCGUAACUUCGGGAGAAGGGGUGCCCACUUCGGUGGGCCACAGUAAAUUGGGACUGGCGACUGUUUACCAAAAACACAGCUCUCUGCUAAGUCGUGAAGACGACGUAUAGGGAGUGACACGUGACCAAUGCGGAAAGAUUAAGGUGACUUGUUAGCACUUGAUGCGAAGCUCGGAGCCCAAGUCCCCGUGAAUGUCGGCCGUAACUAUAACGGUCCUAAGGUAGCGAAAUUCCUUGUCGGGUAAGUUCCGACCUGCACGAAUCGUGCAACGACCGGUCCGCUGUCUCGGAGAGAAUCUCGGCGAAGUUGUAAUUGCGGUGAAGAUGCCGCAUACCCGCAGUAGGACGGAAAGACCCUGUGCACCUUUACUGUAAGCAAGUAUUGUGUUCUGGUUAGUGAUACGUAGAGUAGGUGGGAGACUUUGAAGUGAUGGCUUAGGUUGUCAUGGAGUCGCAAUGUGAAACACCACUUUUUAUUAAUUAGGAUUCUAACAAUGAUUCCUCUGAAGCGAGGCAUUGGACAGUGCUUGCGGGUCAGUUUGACUGGGGCGGUUUCCUCCCAAAGAGUAACGGAGGAGCACUAAGGUACCUUCAGCAUGGUUAGCAACCAUGCGUCGAGCGUAUGCGUAGAAGGGUGCUUGACUGCGAGACCUACAAGUCGAGCAGGUACGAAAGUAGGUGCAAAUGAUCCGGUGGUAGAACGUGGAAUUGCCAUCGCUCAACGGACAAAAGGUACGCCAGGGAUAACAGGCUGAUCGCGCCCAAGAGUUCAUAUCGACGGCGCGGUUUGGCACCUCGAUGUCGGCUCGUCACAUCCUGGGGCUGAAGAAGGUCCCAAGGGUUCGGCUGUUCGCCGAUUAAAGUGGCACGCGAGCUGGGUUCAGAACGUCGUGAGACAGUUCGGUCCUUAUCCACUGUGGGCGCAGGAAACUUGAGGGGUUCAAUCCCCAGUACGAGAGGACCGGGAUUGACGUACCUAUGGUGUGGCAGUUGUUCUAUCAAGGGCAGCGCUGCGUAGCCAAGUACGGAAGAGAUAAGCGCUGAAAGCAUCUAAGUGCCAAGCUCAUCCCAAGAUGAAGUUUCCCACUCCUCGUGAGUGUAAGACCCCCGGUAGACUACCGGGUUGAUAGGCCAGGAGUGUAAGUGUGGUGACACAUUCAGCUGACUGGUACUAAUCGGUCGAGGGCUUGAUUAC
Molecule: ribosomal RNA, 2822 nt
Filed under: bacterium
Lineage: Bacteria
Description: 23S ribosomal RNA
Rfam family: Bacterial large subunit ribosomal RNA
Source: RNAcentral